Molecule: long non-coding RNA, 340 nt
Filed under: Hordeum vulgare
Lineage: Eukaryota; Viridiplantae; Streptophyta; Magnoliopsida; Poales; Poaceae
Description: long non-coding RNA (HVUL_LNC013877)
Source: RNAcentral
AAAGGUGUAACAGCACCCGGGUGCCUAGGCACCCUCUAUGAACAGUGAAAUCAAAAAAAUAGAAAAAAAGUUUGAAAAAAUCUAAAACUUAACAACAUAUAAGAUGGUCAAACUUUAUAGGUUCUUACAAGUUUUCAUGUCAAAAUAUCAUGUAGAGGAAGGUGUACAAACAAGGUUCAGAUUUAGUGCUAAAAGUGUUCAAAAUUUGAACUACGAAAAUGUUUUUCCUGUGUAGAGCUCCUCAAAUGUUUUUUUGGCAUGAAAACUUGCAAGCACCUAUUUUUUUAUCAUUUUUUAUCUUGCAAAGUUUCAGAUUUUUUCGAAUUUUUUUCUAUUUGUU